UUUAGAAGGAGGCUGACGCCUGGAAGGGGCACUUGCUUGGAAUGCCUGAAAUCCUGCCCCAAAAGAGAUGAUUGGAUGAAUAACAGCUGGAGAAGAUCAGCCUUUCAGCCUUAUUCUGAAAAUUGAGGUAAUAACAGCAAGUUACCAUGGGCUCCUUGUCUGCUCAGAUGAUUAGCUACUGGAAUCACAGACUGGUUGAGACCGCACAGAGAAAGAACAGCAAACACAGAAGCCUUGUUCAAAGCACCAGCAAGGAAUAAGCUUCAGGACUUCCAGGUCACUAACAAGAUUGAGAAUGUCACAUUUGUUUUUAAAAGAUGAAGAAGUUGAGGCAUAAAACAGGUUAAAUAAAGAACAAGAUUUAAAACCUACUAUAACACAGCCCUGAGCCUAGAUCAAAGAACAGAC
Long non-coding RNA from Fukomys damarensis (Damara mole-rat), 408 nucleotides. RefSeq lists it as uncharacterized. NCBI's taxonomy places the organism in Eukaryota, Metazoa, Chordata, Mammalia, Rodentia, Bathyergidae. The transcript has 4 exons. The record is from RefSeq and is a predicted model, not a curated record.